GUUCGCUAAAACAAAUUCCAUAACAAUUAAUAAAUAUAUUUAGUUGUUAAAUUUAUUUGGAAAAAAGUUUAUUUUAAAAUCGAAUAUUCUAUAUCAGCAACGUAAAUCAUAAGAAUCGACAAUACCGACGGUGCUUCAUUGACUCGGUUUACACACUGUAACAAAUAUAAUUUUGUAAAAUGAAAAAGUGAAUGUUCCAAGUUAGCUGCUGACUUUUCACACUCUAAUUUAUAUUAUUUAUAGCAUAAAACACGGAACGUGUUUGCGUGAAAUUGCAACGCGUGUGAUUCUCAACGUGUACACAUGCGUUGUGUAAACAUACACAUGGUACAGACAAAAGGGAGAUGCACGUGCGUAUAUACGUGUGCGUGUGCUUCACUUGCGUCAAAGCUGACCCUGAAUGCGUCUCGCGACCGCUUCAGAUUACGCUUGCAUCGUGAAAAAGACAAUUUGAUUUAUUUUUCAUUUUUCUUUUCCUUUUUUUUGUGGUCAUCUGAUAGAGUAACGAGUUUCUAAUCCGGUUAUAUGUAUUUCGAUACAGGAUUGUUUAUCCACGUUAAUGUUCACAUUUGAAUAUAGUUUCGAACGAAAAAACAAACGUUACAUUGGAAAAAAGGAAAUGUUCGAAACGGAGGAAUUAGUAACAGUUAAUGGAACGUGUAAUGUCAUUUGCCGUUAGAUUUACAAAUAUGGAAAUUACGAAGAUAUCAUUAUACCAUUUUAUUCUAAUGGAUAUAAUCAAUUCGACUUUUUGAAUGAAAUUUUAUAUAUAUAUAUGAUUUAAAUAUAUUUGAAUUUUUUACUUUA
This is a long non-coding RNA of Apis cerana (Asiatic honeybee), 807 nucleotides long. RefSeq lists it as uncharacterized. The record is from RefSeq and is a predicted model, not a curated record. NCBI's taxonomy places the organism in Eukaryota, Metazoa, Arthropoda, Insecta, Hymenoptera, Apidae.